This is a long non-coding RNA of Dipodomys ordii (Ord's kangaroo rat), 357 nucleotides long. RefSeq lists it as uncharacterized. The record is from RefSeq and is a predicted model, not a curated record. NCBI's taxonomy places the organism in Eukaryota, Metazoa, Chordata, Mammalia, Rodentia, Heteromyidae. The transcript has 3 exons.
GCUGUUAAAAUUCUGAAUAGUUUUCUAGGAAGGGGCAUGGAUUCUUCUCCUAGGGAGAGCCUAGGCAUACAGGUAGGCAAUUCACAGGAAACCACAGCUUCUAGAGAAAUAACUAAAAAGAAGUAAAAACAGUCAUUUCCAGAAACCUUAGAAGUUAACUUUGUUUCUUCCCUCAAUUUUGAAGAUGCUAUUCUUUUUAAAAGAGGAAUUACUGUAGGAGGAUUGAGAAACUGUCUCUCCAAUACCAGUUGGUCCAAAAGAAGCUAAUUCCUCUAUUAGCUUUCUGAGCAAUUCUGGCUUCAUCCUUUCAGUUUGGAGGAUUUAUAUCUCGUGAAGGCAGUAAUAGGUAAUAAACUG